UACGGGGGGGGCAAGCGUUGUUCGGAAUUACUGGGCGUAAAGGGCUCGUAGGCGGCCAACUAAGUCAGACGUGAAAUCCCUCGGCUUAACCGGGGAACUGCGUCUGAUACUGGAUGGCUUGAGUUUGGGAGAGGGAUGCGGAAUUCCUGGUGUAGCGGUGAAAUGCGCAGAUAUCAGGAAGAACACCCGUGGCGAAAGCGGCUCUCUGGGACGGUACUGACGCUGAGACGCGAAAGCGUGGGGAGCGAACAGG
Molecule: ribosomal RNA, 253 nt
Filed under: uncultured bacterium
Lineage: Bacteria
Description: partial 16S ribosomal RNA
Rfam family: Bacterial small subunit ribosomal RNA
Source: RNAcentral